Molecule: non-coding RNA, 82 nt
Organism: Candidatus Synechococcus spongiarum SP3
Lineage: Bacteria; Bacillati; Cyanobacteriota; Cyanophyceae; Synechococcales; Synechococcaceae
Source: Rfam
GGGUCGGUGCCCGAGUGGUUAAUGGGGGCGGACUGUAAAUCCGUUGGCUCUGCCUGCGUUGGUUCAAAUCCAACCCGGCCCA